Molecule: ribosomal RNA, 870 nt
Filed under: Astraeus sp. (in: basidiomycete fungi)
Lineage: Eukaryota; Fungi; Basidiomycota; Agaricomycetes; Boletales; Astraeaceae
Description: partial large subunit ribosomal RNA
Rfam family: Eukaryotic large subunit ribosomal RNA
Source: RNAcentral
AGUAACGCGAGGGAGCGGGAAAAGCUCAAAUUUUGGAUUCUGGCGUUUUCGGCCGUUCGAAGUGGUAUUCUGGGGAGGGUUCUUCGGGGCUGGCCGGGUCCAGUUUUCUUGGAGGGAAGGUUAAUAAAGGUGGCCAUUCCGUUUUCUGCCAGGGAUUUCCCAGGGUAAGGGAAGGGGUUUUGGCGGGGUGGAGUGGUUUGGGAAGCCGGUUCAAAUGGGGUGGUAAAUUCCUUUUAAAGUUAAAUCCGGGGGGGAGCCGGAAAGGGACCAGGUCCCUGGGGGGAAGGAGGAAAGGACUUUUGAAAGGGGAUUUAACCGGUAGGGGAAAUUGUGGGAGGGGAACGGUUGGAGUCCGGUGGGUUGGCCGGAGGUUCACCCUGGUUUCCCUGGUGGGGGGUUUUUUUGGUUCGGCGGGUUCGCCUUGAAUUUGGAUGUUGGUGGAGGGCGGGAGGGGAAGGGGCCCUUUUUGGGAGGGGGUUAAACCUUUCGGUAGGGGAGGGGUGGUUGGGAUUGGAGGAAUUGGCCUUGCCCCUUUGGGGGUUUCGGGGCUUUUGCCCACGCAGCAUGCCUAGGAUGCUGGCAUAAUGUCUUCAAGCGACCCGUCUUGAAACACGGACCAAGGAGUCUAACAUGCCUGCGAGUGUUUGGGUGGAAAACCCGAGCGCGUAAUGAAAGUGAAAGUUGGGACCCCUGUCGUGGGGGGCACCGACGCCCGGACCUGAGCCUUUGGCGACGGAUCUGCGGUAGAGCAUGUAUGUUGGGACCCGAAAGAUGGUGAACUAUGCCUGAAUAGGGCGAAGCCAGAGGAAACUCUGGUGGAGGCUCGUAGCGAUUCUGACGUGCAAAUCGAUCGUCGAAUUUGGGUAUAGC